AGGACGAACGCUGGCGGCGUGCUUAACACAUGCAAGUCGAGCGGAAAGGCCCUUCGGGGUACUCGAGCGGCGAACGGGUGAGUAACACGUGGGCAACCUGCCCCUAGCUCUGGGAUAACUCCGGGAAACCGGUGCUAAUACCGGAUACGACCUCAUUAGGCAUCCUUUGAGGUGGAAAGAUUUAUUGGCUAGGGAUGGGCCCGCGGCCUAUCAGCUUGUUGGUGGGGUAAUGGCCUACCAAGGCGACGACGGGUAGCCGGCCUGAGAGGGCGACCGGCCACACUGGGACUGAGACACGGCCCAGACUCCUACGGGAGGCAGCAGUGGGGAAUAUUGCGCAAUGGGCGAAAGCCUGACGCAGCGACGCCGCGUGAGGGAUGACGGCCUUCGGGUUGUAAACCGCUUUCAGUGGGGACGAAGCUAACGUGACGGUACCUACAGAAGAAGCACCGGCCAACUACGUGCCAGCAGCCGC
Molecule: ribosomal RNA, 475 nt
Filed under: uncultured bacterium
Lineage: Bacteria
Description: SSU rRNA
Rfam family: Bacterial small subunit ribosomal RNA
Source: RNAcentral